Molecule: long non-coding RNA, 589 nt
Filed under: Brassica napus (rape)
Lineage: Eukaryota; Viridiplantae; Streptophyta; Magnoliopsida; Brassicales; Brassicaceae
Description: long non-coding RNA (BNAP_LNC024651)
Source: RNAcentral
UUAGGGUUUAGGAUUUAGGGUUUAGGGUUUAGAGUCGAAGGUUUAGGGUUUUAGGGUUUAGAAUUGAUGUUUUAGGGUUUAGGGUUAAUUUUUUAGUGUUUAGGGUUUAGAGUUUACUUUUUAGGGUUUAGGGUUUAGUGUUGAUGGUUUAGAGUUUAGAGUUGAAGUUUAGGGUUUAGGGUUUAGAGUUGAUGUUUUAGGGUUUAUAGUUGAAGGUUUAGGGUUUAGGGUUUAGAGUUUAUGUUUCGGGGUUUAGGGUUUAGAGUUGAUGUUUCAGGGUUUAGGGUUUAUUUAAAAAAAAAGGUUUUUUUUUUUUUUGUCGUCAACUAUUACAGACUCAUACGGACUCUGUAAACCAAACCAGGUGAUCUGCAUCCAAUUGAACGACAAAAAGGUUUUAAGAUUGAUGAUUUAGGGUUUAGGGUUCGUAUUUCAAAAAAUAUAGGGUUUAAGAUUGAUGGUUUAGGGUUUAGAGUUGAGUUUUAGGGUUUAGGGUUUGAAUUUCGAAAUAGUAUAAUUCAGAAAAAAAAUUAAAAAAUUGUUUUUUAUUUCUUUAGAUUUUUAUUUAUUUAAAUAGUUAUUUAUUAUA